This is an RNA transcript of Ricinus communis (castor bean), 2167 nucleotides long. It is a transcript of the gene named pentatricopeptide repeat-containing protein At5g66520-like, with no coding region annotated. The transcript has 2 exons. NCBI's taxonomy places the organism in Eukaryota, Viridiplantae, Streptophyta, Magnoliopsida, Malpighiales, Euphorbiaceae. The record is from RefSeq and is a predicted model, not a curated record.
UUAUAAAUCAUAAUUUAGUUAACAUUUGUUUAGACAUUAUUUAGGUAGAAACAAGAUAUAGCGGGUGAGGCUGGGCAGCGCAUCUGGUAUAGUGGUAUCAUAGUACCCUCCCACGGUACUGACCGGGGUGCGCAUUAACCCUUCUUUUUUCUUUUUGAUUUUCUUUUUCAUCUUUAAUUUUAUUUUUGGCAUUCUUUUUUCUUUUUGAUUUUCCUUUUCAUCUUUAAUUUUAUUUUUGGCAUUCUUUUUUCUUUUUGAUUUUCCUUUUCAUCUUUAAUUUUAUUUUUGGCAACCAGAGCUCCAUUUAACAGCACGCAAAGCAAUUGUAUGGGCGCUGUCGUUGAACUCGCAAAUCGCACCACUCCACCACACGCACAAAUUACUCGAACCAGUAAUGCUACUGAUAGCUAACCCCCAGCUCAACGCCAUUGCAGUCAGAAUCAUUCAUUUGCUUGACAAUUGCAUUUCUCAUACUCACAUUCACCAAAUCCAAACCCAACUCAUACUCCAUAAACUCCAUUCUAACACCACUGUUGCUCACCAUUUUAUCACUGCCUGCCAAAACCUGUCCUUUCUGCAGUCAUCUCUCCCUCUCUUCUUUACCCACCUCUCCAAUCCCCAUGUUUUCACUUGUAAUACUCUUAUACAGUCCUUUUCCCAUUCUCAAAUCCCUCAUAUUUCUUUUUCAAUAUACGCCCGCAUGCACACUAACUCCAUUCUUCCUAAUAACUACACGUUUCCUUUUCUUCUCAAGUCAUUGUCUGACUUUAAGGAUCUUACACAGGGUCAAUGUGUCCAAGCCCAAGUAAUAAAGUUAGGUCAUUCAUAUGAUAUUUAUGUCCAGAACUCUCUGUUGAACCUCUAUGCUUCAUGUGGCCAUAUGGGUCAUUGUCGGAGUGUGUUUGAUGAAAUGCCUGAAAGAGAUGUAGUGUCAUGGACUGUUUUGAUUAUGGGGUAUAGGAAUGCUGAGAACUAUGGCGAUGCGUUGAUUGCUUUUGAGCAAAUGCAAUAUGCGGGUAUAGUGCCUAAUCAUGUUACUAUGGUGAAUGUGUUGGGUGCUUGUGCGCGUUUUGGGGCAAUUGAAAUGGGUAUUUGGAUUCAUGAUUUUAUAAGGAGGAGUGGGUGGGAGAUAGAUGUGAUUUUGGGGACUUCUUUGAUUGAUAUGUAUGCCAAGUGCGGGAAGAUUAAUGAGAGUUUGAGUGUGUUCAGAAGCAUGAAAGAAAAGAACAUUUUUGCUUGGAAUGCAGUUAUUAAAGGGCUAGCUUUUGCUAAAUGUGGGCAGGAGGCUGUUAGGUGGUUUUUUACUAUGGAGCAAGAAGGGUUCAAGCCAGAUGAAGUCACUUUUGUUAAUGUUCUUAGUACCUGCAGCCACUCUGGAUUUGUUGAUUUGGGCAAACAGCUAUUUGGUUUGUUGAUUAAUGGGAAAUAUGGAUUUUCACCUAAUGCAAAGCAUUAUGCGUGUAUGGUCGACCUCUAUGCACGAUCUGGGUGUCUUGAUGAGGCUUUCAAACUCAUUAGAGAAAUGCCUUUCUCGCCUACAAAGGCUAUGUGGGGAUCAUUGCUCACUGGGUGUAGAGCUAAUAAAAACUUGGAGUUGAGUGAAUAUGUGGCUAAGAAACUUAUUGAAUUGGAACCGGGGAAUAGUGCUUACUAUGUUGUUCUGUCUAACUUGUAUUCAGAGAUGGGAAGAUGGACUGAUGCUGCAGAAGUGAGGGAAUUAAUGAAGGAUAAGGGACUUAAGAAGGACUUGGGCUGUAGUUCUGUGGAAUCUUCAUCCCAAGAACAUGAUAUUGAAUUAUUAACUUGCUGAGUGCCACGCCAUUCUAUAUGCGUUCAAGGAAAGAGUGUAUUCUUUUGUUGGAUUCAGAUAUUUGUAUUGCUGGAUAAAGAAAUAUCAAGUAUUGUGAUAUUGAUGGCUCUAACAAGUACAACUGGUGGAAUCCAUCGGAAUCCAUCAUUUUUGCGUCCUGUGGUUAAUGGGUAAUUGACCACUUGUGAAACUUGUAACCGAGGUAAAACUACUCUGCAGAAGGAAUAUGCCAGAAGUAGUAUACCUUGUAAUUCCUUCACAAUUUUCUUAGCUUUUGGCUGCACUAGAACAACGUCAUCUAGUGGGUUCAAGAGUUGGAAUCAAGAUCUAUUGGUGAUAUCAGUCCUCAAUAGGUGC